Molecule: ribosomal RNA, 494 nt
Filed under: uncultured bacterium
Lineage: Bacteria
Description: partial 16S ribosomal RNA
Rfam family: Bacterial small subunit ribosomal RNA
Source: RNAcentral
GACGAACGCUGGCGACGUGCUUAACACAUGCAAGUCGAACGGUGAAGCGCCUUCCUUUUUGGUGGGUGUGGAUGAGUGGCGAACGGGUGAGUAACACGUGAGUAACCUGCCCCCUUCUUCUGGAUAACCGCAUGAAAGUGUGGCUAAUACGGGAUAUUCUGGGUCUGUCGCAUGAUGGGUCUGGGAAAGAUAUUGUUUCGGUGGGGGAUGGGCUCGCGGCCUAUCAGCUUGUUGGUGGGGUGAUGGCCUACCAAGGCGGUGACGGGUAGCCGGCCUGGGAGGGUGGACGGUCACACUGGGACUGAGACACGGCCCAGACUCCGACAGGAGGCAGCAGUGGGGAAUAGUGCACAAUGGGCGCAAGGCUGAUGCAGCGACGCCGCGUGGGAGAUGGAGGCCUUCGGGUUGUGAACCUCUUUCGCCAGUGAAGCAGGCCUGCCUCGUUUGUGGGUGGGUUGACGGUAGCUGGAGAAGAAGCGCCGGCUAACUACGUG